RNAcentral lists this ribosomal RNA (435 nucleotides) under uncultured bacterium. RNAcentral's name for it is "partial 16S ribosomal RNA". It matches the Rfam family "Bacterial small subunit ribosomal RNA", at positions 29 to 507 of the family's 1533-position model. The record is from RNAcentral.
AGCGAACGCUGGCGGCAGGCUUAACACAUGCAAGUCGAGCGGGCAUCUUCGGAUGUCAGCGGCAGACGGGUGAGUAACACGUGGGAACGUACCCUUCGGUUCGGAACAACUCUGGGAAACUGGAGCUAAUACCGGAUACGCCCUUAUGGGGAAAGGUUUACUGCCGAAGGAUCGGCCCGCGUCUGAUUAGCUGGUUGGUGGGGUAACGGCCUACCAAGGCGACGAUCAGUAGCUGGUCUGAGAGGAGGAUCAGCCACACUGGGACUGAGACACGGCCCAGACUCCUACGGGAGGCAGCAGUGGGGAAUAUUGGACAAUGGGCGCAAGCCUGAUCCAGCCAUGCCGCGUGAGUGAUGAAGGCCUUAGGGUUGUAAAGCUCUUUUGUCCGGGACGAUAAUGACGGUACCGGAAGAAUAAGCCCCGGCUAACUUCGUG